ACGCAUUGUAAAUUUUAAUGUACUUAUAGUUGGAGAUAUGCGUAUUAAUUUAUUGUUUAACAUAUCACAGUUACCAAAAGAAGAUGAAGACAGCUUUAUUAUUCGAACUGAUACUUCCAUUAGCUCUCAGCCAAGCUUUUCCAAACACUGACGAUGCCUCUUCGGUCAAUUUAAUAACCGUCAAUGAAAUAACCGAACCCAUUAAGCCUUGUAUUGACAAAAAACGAGCUUGGACUGGUGGUUCUGGCAGAAAAUCCGGUGUUCUUCCAUUUCCUUUUGGAAAUAACGAUGCAUUGGGGCAGGGUGAUGUUGGACAGUUCUUGGUCGGUGGCAUUCAGAAUCCCAUGUACAUACCACCAUAUUAUAUGCACAGAGACAUCCGAAAGUUUCCGAAUAUUCAAAUAAAUACAGCGCCAGUUUCUAAUGGUUAUAGCAUGAUGCAUGGGAUUCAAGAUAUUCCGAUGGACGUGGUUGAUCGAGUGAGAGGGAAUCUAUCUCCUGCUAAUGGAGGUGGUCGGUUAAGAUUUGGUCCUGUGGGUUUUAUGUUAGAUCAUCGUUUUGGGUAAAAAUUGCUACUGUUUAUCACAAAUCAUGAUUGAGAUUACAGGAAGAGAUCAUAUUCUUAUUUAAAUCUGUAAUUUACUAGACAACUUUGGGAAUUUAUUGUAAAUAUAUUGCAUCA
This is a long non-coding RNA of Leptidea sinapis, 682 nucleotides long. RefSeq lists it as uncharacterized. The record is from RefSeq and is a predicted model, not a curated record. The transcript has 3 exons. Lineage: Eukaryota; Metazoa; Arthropoda; Insecta; Lepidoptera; Pieridae.